This 253-nucleotide ribosomal RNA is filed under the name uncultured bacterium. Its description in RNAcentral is "partial 16S ribosomal RNA". It matches the Rfam family "Bacterial small subunit ribosomal RNA", at positions 524 to 776 of the family's 1533-position model. The record is from RNAcentral.
UACGUAGGGGACAAGCGUUGUCCGGAAUUAUUGGGCGUAAAGCGCGUGUAGGCGGCCCUGUAAGUCCGUUGUGAAAGUCAAAGGCUCAACCUUUGAAAGCCGAUGGAUACUGCAGGGCUAGAGUCCGGAAGAGGCGAGUGGAAUUCCUGGUGUAGCGGUGGAAUGCGCAGAUAUCAGGAGGAACACCAAUAGCGAAGGCAGCUCGCUGGGACGGUACUGACGCUAAGGCGCGAAAGCGUGGGGAGCGAACAGG